Molecule: ribosomal RNA, 429 nt
Filed under: Gemmatimonadota bacterium
Lineage: Bacteria; Pseudomonadati; Gemmatimonadota
Description: Gemmatimonadetes bacterium partial 16S ribosomal RNA
Rfam family: Bacterial small subunit ribosomal RNA
Source: RNAcentral
UAGGGAAUCUUCGGCAAUGGACGAAAGUCUGACCGAGCAACGCCGCGUGAGUGAAGAAGGUUUUCGGAUCGUAAAACUCUGUUGUUAGAGAAGAACAAGGACGUUAGUAACUGAACGUCCCCUGACGGUAUCUAACCAGAAAGCCACGGCUAACUACGUGCCAGCAGCCGCGGUAAUACGUAGGUGGCAAGCGUUGUCCGGAUUUAUUGGGCGUAAAGCGAGCGCAGGCGGUUUCUUAAGUCUGAUGUGAAAGCCCCGGGCUCAACCGGGGAGGGUCAUUGGAAACUGGGAGACUUGAGUGCAGAAGAGGAGGGUUGAAUUCCAUGUGUAGCGGUGAAAUGCGUAGAUAUAUGGAGGAACACCAGUGGCGUAAGCGGCGCUCUGGUCUGUAACUGACGCUGAGGCUCGAAAGCGUGGGGAGCAAACAGG